This 91-nucleotide transfer RNA is filed under the name Streptomyces sp. NE5-10. RNAcentral's name for it is "tRNA-Ala". Lineage: Bacteria; Bacillati; Actinomycetota; Actinomycetes; Kitasatosporales; Streptomycetaceae. The record is from RNAcentral.
UGCUCCUUGGAACGGUUCGUGCGGCGGCGCCGGCCUCGGUGGGGCCGGUCGCCCGGGUGGUCGCCCCCGGUGCGUCACCGGGAGGGCGCGG